GUCUAUGGCCAUGCUAUCCUGAACAAGCCCGAUCCUGUCUGAUCUUAGAAGCUAAGCAGGGUCGGGCCUGGUUAGUACUCGGAUGGGAGACCACCUAGGAAGACCAGGUGCUGUAGGCA
Molecule: ribosomal RNA, 119 nt
Filed under: Pteropus alecto (black flying fox)
Lineage: Eukaryota; Metazoa; Chordata; Mammalia; Chiroptera; Pteropodidae
Source: RNAcentral